This is a non-coding RNA of Paramuricea clavata, 605 nucleotides long. Lineage: Eukaryota; Metazoa; Cnidaria; Anthozoa; Malacalcyonacea; Plexauridae. The record is from the annotation of a GenBank genome assembly.
GCAAUGUUCCACCUGGAGAGGUUUUUAAUACUAUACAUUUGCAUCAGUGACACCUGUACAGGUUGGCUUAGCUCGAGCACGAGGUCUACGAACUGAUGUCUUCGAGCGAGACUCGAAAAGAAAUCCAACUCUAUCGACUAAGAUCUUUAUCUCGCUAUUUUUUCUCUGUGGAGACAUCCAACUAAAUCCCGGACUAAUCAAGGACCCAUGUGGAAUAUGUUUGAAAUCGGUUAAGGCAAAUCAACGUGAAAUUCAAUGUGAUUCAUGUGAUGUUUGGUACCACGUGCGAUGCAUGAAGAUGAACAUUCAUAUAUACGAAGCUCUGGCUAAUUCAUCUUGUGUAUGGGAAUGUGAUAAUUGCAGUCUACCGAAUUUUUCCAGUUCCCUAUUUGAUUCAUACGAUGAUAGUACCUAUACCAACAGGUUUUCGCCGCUCUUUGGUCUAGCAGACUCCUUCGAUAAAUCCCUGUCAGAUCCAACUACACAUGUAAACAUUUCCACCACUGUUAAUGUCUCCUUUCAACCAAAACAAACCUCUAGUCCUAAACCAUCCAAAAAACAGUUACCAUCAUCUAAACCUACAUUAGGAAACAAAGAAUAUCAAG